Molecule: long non-coding RNA, 374 nt
Organism: Peromyscus californicus insignis
Lineage: Eukaryota; Metazoa; Chordata; Mammalia; Rodentia; Cricetidae
Exons: 2
Source: RefSeq, a predicted model, not a curated record
AGAGCUAGCCCCGCCCCGCCAGCUCCGCGAGGCGCGUAGGCCGGAUCUCGGAUUUUGGCCACGCCUCCCAGGCAAAGGCUCUAAGCUAGAUGCCAAGGGCGAGGAGAGAGUGCCCUGGAAAAUAGGUGAUCUAGAGUUCGAAUCCCACGGCUGCUGAUUCUGAGACGGAACGGAAAGACGUGGAAAUCUUGCGAACAUGAAAAGGAAAAAGAGCAUCUCGCCAGAAAUACAGAACACAGCCUGCACAGUUGGGUGCUGUAUUCCGGCAGUCUGAGGAUUCACUGACUGCAUCUGUUUACUCUUCCGACCUCAUUCUGCAUCUUGGGAGAACACGACUGAAGUCAACUUUCUGGCAAGUUCAUCUGAGGAAGAAG